UCCGGCUUUCACCGGCUGUCUCUUUAGAGUGCCCAACUCAAUGCUGGCAACUAAAGAUAAGGGUUGCGCUCGUUGCGGGACUGAACCCAACAUCUCACGACACGAGCUGACGACAACCAUGCACCACCUGUCACCACUGCCCCGAAGGGAGAGUGUAUCUCUACACUGGUCAGUGGGAUGUCAAGCCUUGGUAAGGUUCUUCGCGUUGCUUCGAAUUAAACCACAUGCUCCACCGCUUGUGCGGGCCCCCGUCAAUUCCUUUGAGUUUCAGCCUUGCGGCCGUACUCCCCAGGCGGAGUGCUUAAUGUGUUAACUUCGGCACUGAGGGUGGAACCCCCCAACACCUAGCACUCAACGUUUACGGCUGGGACUAC
RNAcentral lists this unclassified non-coding RNA (374 nucleotides) under uncultured Thermoactinomycetaceae bacterium. Its description in RNAcentral is "contains 16S-23S intergenic spacer region". Lineage: Bacteria; Bacillati; Bacillota; Bacilli; Caryophanales; Thermoactinomycetaceae. The record is from RNAcentral.